Molecule: ribosomal RNA, 327 nt
Filed under: uncultured eukaryote
Lineage: Eukaryota
Description: partial 18S ribosomal RNA
Rfam family: Eukaryotic small subunit ribosomal RNA
Source: RNAcentral
CCCUUAGAUGUCCUGGGCCGCACGCGCGUUACACUGAUGCAUUCAACGAGCUAUAACCUUGGCCGAGAGGCCUGGGCAAUCUUGUUAACGUGCAUCGUGAUAGGGAUAGAUUAUUGAAAUUAUUAAUCUUGAACGAGGAAUUCCUAGUAAACGCAGAUCAUCAAUCUGCAUUGAUUACGUCCCUGCCCUUUGUACACACCGCCCGUCGCACCUACCGAUUGGAUGGUCCGGUGAAGCCUCGGGAUUGUGGUUCUUGCCGCUUUAUUGUGGCGUGACCGCGAGAACUUGUCUAAACCUUAUCAUCUAGAGGAAGGUGAAGUCGUAACA